ACUGAUCCUGGAAGAUCACAUGUUUUACCAGUCACUGCUGAUGAGGCAGAGGUGCUUGGGCCUCUCUUGUUUCUCCUUCCAAAAGCACCUGACAGAUGAACACAAACUCUUUCAAUUAAGAAAUUAAAGGGAAGGAGUACCUGCUAUUCCUGGUUUGAGCAGAGAAGUACUACAACAUCACAGAAUCACAGAAUGGCUGAGGUUGGAAGGGACCUCUGAAGAUCAUCUAGCCCAACCUCCCUGCUGAGCAGGAUGUCCUGUGCAUUGUGCAGGACGGCAUCCAGCUUAUUCUUCACUGGUGCCUCUGAUCAGUGGUUUGCCUUGAGGUCUCCACACUGCUCACCUCUUUCCUCUGCAAAAACCUUUGCCAAUAUGGCUACAAAAUUCAGCCAAUUCAAAGCCUCACAACAUGGCAGAAAACAAAACUAACAAAAUGGAGAAUGAAAGAACAGAGAAACAAAGAUUCAAGAAAGAACAUUGACAUCCAAAGCACAAUUGAAGUGUCUAGAUUAUUAACACAGUCCUCAAAUCCACAUCUGACAAACUUUAACUGACUAUAUGCAUCAUUGUAACUGACUGCACACUGCAAUUUGUAGUUGAAAAGUCUCAAAAUAAGGAUCAUUUCUAAAUUUAGAUCUCAAGAUUUAAUGCACAUCUAAUUCAACAACAGUUACCCAAGAGCCACUAUGUAAUAAUGGACACAGAAUAUUUAAAUUUCAUAGCCUUGUAAGUAUGAAAAAAAUCACACUAGUAAUAAACAUACAAAAAGUCUCACCACAAUCGUGUAAUAUUUACAGUUAAAUAAUAAAUUUACAUAAAAUAUAGGAAAUUAGUAAAAAGGAAUAGCUAAUUAAAAAGGUAAAAUUCUGAUGUAUUUAUACUACCUUAGAAGCUCAGAGCAUUUGUAUUCUCAUUAAAGAAUGCUUGUGAAAGGACAGUCUCUUCAAUUUUUCUUCCCUAGACUUAUGAUUGAACAGCAUAAGUCCAUAUUGGACAGGGAAUUACUAAAAGAAAAAAUGAAAAAAAAAAAGAAAAAAAAAAGAAAAAAAAUGAAAAAAAUAUCCCUCAGAAAUGGGAUAGAGUUUUCCUGAAAACAAAGGAAAGCAAAGCAAAACAAAACAACAACAACAACAAGAAAUUAACUUUAAGUACUUGGGGAGCAAAGAAGUCUGCUAAAGUCUGGGUUCAUCAGUGAAUAAGACCACAAUAAACAAAUAAUCUAACACAUGCUUAUAGAGGAUUUUUUUUUUUAUUUUGUUUUUAAUUUGUGUUCAUUAUGGGGAAGAUCCUAGAGGUACCUUUAUUGCUGAUUUUCUUUAUAGGUAAAACACCUGAGGACUCUACCAGUGUGAACUGGUAAUUGAAGAGACUGAUGUCUAAUAAUUUUAUACCAAAAUAAUAGAAAGUGACAAAUGGGAAAACAGCUGUUAAAAAGGGCUCUUCCUUGCUCCAACAGACCAGUAAUUCUAACUUGAUUAUCAAGAGGAUUGCUAGGAAUUAUAACAAAAAUAAUUAGUAGACAAAAGAGAAAAUAUGAUAUAUUUGGCAAGUAUCAGAACAGCUUUUGUAGAGGAAAGCCAUACUUUGCAAAACUAUGGCAAUUGUCUGAAGUCAAAAGGAUCAUUUGGAUAAUGUUGAUUCAAACUUAUGAACUUGAAUUUUCAAAGAGAGAUAAACAAUAUUAAUGAAAUAGAAUUGUCAUGGGGUAAAAGGGUAAAGCUUCUCCCAGAUUACUUGGUGAAAGAUAGGAAACAAAGGGUAGUGUGAAUAAUAAUUUUUCACAGCAAGGAACCAUCAGCGCUGCAGGGAAGGCUGGGAUUCAUGAAUGCUGUGGAAAAGGUGGUGAGCUGUGAGGUGAUUUUUUGUGUAAUGAUACAGAAUUAAUCAGGAUAGUAAAAGCAUAAGCUGGAUGUGGGGAGUGACAGAACAGUCUCAUGAUAUUGAGCAAUGAAGUGACAGAUGAAAUCAAUGUCAAUAAAUGGAAAGUCAUGCACAGAGAAAAAAAAAACACUCCAAAUUAAUAUUACUACUCUUGAAUACGAUCUUGAAGACCCUGAAAACAUCAAUGAAAUAUUAAGUUAUGUCUUCUGAAAUAAAAAUAAAAAAAAGUCGGAGUAGGAAUUGUUGGGAAAAGACUGAGGAAUUAAAAAAAAACAAAUAGAUGUAUAAAUCCAUAUCUGGACAAUAAAUGUGGUUCUGGGUAAUACCUUUCUAAAAGGUUAUAAUAGAAUUAAAAAGAGAACAGAUAAGGGUGACAAAAAUGAACUGUACUACAGAAUAAUUUCUAUAGAGCAGAGAUAAAGUAGAUAAGACUCUUCAGUUUGGGAAAGAUAUGAUUGGGAGAAAAUGAUAAAGUCUGAUAAAAUAAAAAUAAAAAUUUGGAAAAGAUGAAUACAAAAGAAUUCAGUGGUUUUUAUAGCAUAAGAAUUAAGAAGGCUGAAGAAGCAUAAGAAUUAGGUACCAGGCUUGCAACAAAUAAGAGGAAGCACAUUUUCACACAAUAAUACUGAAAAAGACAUGAGGGAGGUUCAUCUGCAUUUUUUAAAUUGUCGUUGCCGUUUCUGGCUCAGGAAGUCCCAAAGGUGCUGAACUGCAGAAGCUGGGACUCUAUAUCAGAAGAAAGGAUCAUUUUACUAGAUAUAUUUCCUAUAUUCAUUCUCCAUAUAUUCCAUUUUUUCUAAGCAACUAAAUAGAGCUAAGGUAGAGACCCAAAUCUAGAUAAUUUAGCUUUACUGACAGUAGUGCCAUGACUUUUGUCUACAAGGCCAAAAAAUGUCCCUUGGCUUCUUUGUACACUAAUAGAGACAGAGCCUCAGUGCCCACUGUGAUUGUGGUGGGUGAGACAGGAGUUUGGCCCCAUUAGUGCAAUUGUUAUAUUCUAACAUUGGACUCUUUUUUUUUUUUUUUUCCCCACUUCAUAUUAUUAAAAAAAUAAUAAAAGU
Molecule: long non-coding RNA, 2942 nt
Organism: Anas platyrhynchos (mallard)
Lineage: Eukaryota; Metazoa; Chordata; Aves; Anseriformes; Anatidae
Source: RefSeq, a predicted model, not a curated record